UAGGGAAUAUUUGGCAAUGGGCGCAAGCCUGAUCCAGCCAUCCCGCGUGAAGGAUGAAGGUCCUCUGGAUUGUAAACUUCUUUUCUUCGGGAAUAAAAACUGGGGUUCUCCUCAGCUUGAAGGUACCGAAGGAAUAAGCACCGGCUAACUCCGUGCCAGCAGCCGCGGUAAUACGGAGGGUGCAAGCGUUAUCCGGAUUCACUGGGUUUAAAGGGUGCGUAGGUGGCUUUGUAAGUCAGUGGUGAAAGCUCGGAGCUCAACUCCGAAACUGCCAUUGAUACUGCUUAGCUUGAAUCAGGUGGAGGUGGAUGGAAUGUGACAUGUAGCGGUGAAAUGCUUAGAUAUGUUACAGAACACCGAUUGCGAAGGCAGUUCACCAGCCCUGUAUUGACACUGAGGCACGAAAGCGUGGGGAUCAAACAGGAUUAGAUACCCUGGUAGUCCACGCCCUAAACGAUGUAAACUCGACAUUAGCGAUAUACAGUUAGUGUCUUAGCGAAAGCGUUAAGUUACCACCCUGGAAG
Molecule: ribosomal RNA, 524 nt
Filed under: bacterium enrichment culture SBR_L_B11
Lineage: Bacteria
Description: bacterial SSU rRNA
Rfam family: Bacterial small subunit ribosomal RNA
Source: RNAcentral